RNAcentral lists this long non-coding RNA (573 nucleotides) under Equus caballus (horse). RNAcentral's name for it is "lncRNA (ENSECAG00000058494.1)". The record is from RNAcentral. Lineage: Eukaryota; Metazoa; Chordata; Mammalia; Perissodactyla; Equidae.
AAAAUGCUUUGCAGAGCCUCGUAAAUGAGCAUUCAGCAAGCUGCUGUGGAGACCUCAGCACCAACUGGAGCACAGCCCUCCCACAUUUCUCCUUCACCCCCGCCUCCUCGGGUGGGCGUGCACCUGCUAAAGCUUUACGAUACAUCACAGAGCGAGGAGAGAGGGAGAACAACAGCCCCAAUUACAUGGGCAGCUUUUCUCUCUCUAAACAGAAGAACUAGCUGGACUGGAAGCUGGAUUUAUCCAAUGUCACUUGGAGAAAGAAAGAGAGAAGGCAAAGAAAGCUUCAGAGGAGAGCAGAGAUGAACAACAAGUUGAUACACUGACAGUAAGAACAUAAUUAUAAAAAUAGUUGUCAACCUCUGAGUCCCUACACUUAAAAUGCGCCAGGUGGGCCCUAACCUCAAUGACAAAUGUCCUCAUAGAAGACAGAAGAGGAGAAUGCGAUGCGAGAUUGGAGUGGCAGAGGUUAGAGUGGCCACGAGCCAACGAAGCCAAGGAAUGGUAACAGCCACCAGAAACAGGAAGAGGCGCGAAAGGAUUCUCCCCUAGAGCUUCCAAAGUGAGUGCAGC